Molecule: ribosomal RNA, 379 nt
Filed under: uncultured eukaryote
Lineage: Eukaryota
Description: partial 18S ribosomal RNA
Rfam family: Eukaryotic small subunit ribosomal RNA
Source: RNAcentral
CAAUAGCGUAUAUUUAAGUUGUUGCAGUUAAAAAGCUCGUAGUUGGAUUUCGGAUGGGAUUUGCCGGUCCGUCGUUACGAUGUGCACUGGCCAGUCCUAUCUUGUUGUCGGGGACUAGCUCCUUGGAUUCACUUCCUGGGACUAGGAGCUGACGAGGUUACUUUGAGUAAAUUAGAGUGUUCAAAGCAAGCCUACGCUCUGAAUACAUUAGCAUGGAAUAACACGAUAGGACUCUGGCUUAUCUUGUUGGUCUGUGAGACCAGAGCAAUGAUUAAGAGGGACAGUCGGGGACAUUCGUAUUUCAUUGUCAGAGGUGAAAUUCUUGGAUUUAUGAAAGACGAACUUCUGCGAAAGCAUUUGUCAAGGAUGUUUUCAUUAA